Molecule: microRNA precursor, 76 nt
Filed under: Myotis davidii
Lineage: Eukaryota; Metazoa; Chordata; Mammalia; Chiroptera; Vespertilionidae
Description: mir-9229 microRNA precursor family
Rfam family: mir-9229 microRNA precursor family
Source: Rfam by way of RNAcentral
GAGACACCCUUAUGGAGCAGGACUUGCUUGAGUGGGGCUUUGGUGCUUACUGAGUCUGCAUCCUGAGUGUUUCUCU